GAUGAACGCUGGCGGCGUGCUUAACACAUGCAAGUCGAACGAUGAAGCCCAGCUUGCUGGGUGGAUUAGUGGCGAACGGGUGAGUAACACGUGAGUAACCUGCCCUUAACUCUGGGAUAAGCCUGGGAAACUGGGUCUAAUACCGGAUAGGAGCGUCCACCGCAUGGAGGGUGUUGGAAAGAUUUAUCGGUUUUGGAUGGACUCGCGGCCUAUCAGCUUGUUGGUGAGGUAAUGGCUCACCAAGGCGACGACGGGUAGCCGGCCUGAGAGGGUGACCGGCCACACUGGGACUGAGACACGGCCCAGACUCCUACGGGAGGCAGCAGUGGGGAAUAGUGCACAAUGGGCGCAAGCCUGGUGCAGCGACGCCGCGUGAGGGAUGACGGCCUUCGGGUUGUAAACCUCUUUCAGUAGGGAAGAAGCGAAAGUGGCGGUACCUGCAGAAGAAGCACCGGCUAACUACGUG
Molecule: ribosomal RNA, 466 nt
Filed under: uncultured bacterium
Lineage: Bacteria
Description: partial 16S ribosomal RNA
Rfam family: Bacterial small subunit ribosomal RNA
Source: RNAcentral